GGGUCAUCAAUGAUUGUAAACGAGUGCAUCUGAUUGGAUGGUGACUCGAUUGAUCACACGCAAAGAAAAUUCAUAGAUUUUGAUAAAUCUCAUCAUUAUAAAAAUCGUUAGUCAGAUGACAACCUAACCAAACAACUUCAAACACCAACUCUUUAACAGUAGAGAAUCCCCAGCAGUGCACCAGGAAUCAAAUCCAUGGCCAAGACCACCAAGACUCAAGUCGUCAUGAACCAGUAAAGUCCACAUCCCUGAGUUCAACCA
Molecule: long non-coding RNA, 261 nt
Filed under: Elaeis guineensis (African oil palm)
Lineage: Eukaryota; Viridiplantae; Streptophyta; Magnoliopsida; Arecales; Arecaceae
Description: long non-coding RNA (EGUI_LNC004203)
Source: RNAcentral